AUGAAGUCUCCCAGUAGUUCAGCUGCCAUUACCGCCGCCUUCUGUCCUCCGGCCAGUCAGUCUACCUGCAGCAUAAGCAGCCUGAACCUCUACAGCACAUCGGUCACUGGCUCCCACAAAAUCAAGUUCCAGCAGAGUGAGGUGACCUGAUUCCUGGAUGAAAAGCGCAUCCAGUACGAGCCAGUGGACAUCUCCCAGGACAACGCCCUGAGGGAUGAGAUGCAAGUCUUGGUGGGCAACCCCAAGGCUGCCCCACACCAGAUUGUCAAUGGGGACAGGUACUGUGGGGACUUUGAGCUCUUCACGGAGGCUGUGGAACAAAACACAAUGCAGGAGUUCCUGAAACUGGCCUGAGUCAAGCUGGCCCACAGUUCCCCUGCUGGUGUCCAUCACCACACUCUUCCUCCAGCCCUCACCUGGCCAUGAAGGACCUUGUGACCAAAACUCCCUGUCAUUCCUAACCUGACCUUAGAGUCCCUUCCCACAAUGCAAACCACUUCUCCCCCUUUCUAAAUGUAGUCUCCUCUUCUCCAUUCAAAGGCAGUAUUCCUUACCCACUAGUCUCAGAAAUUGUCUUAAGCAAUAGCCCCAAAUGCUGGCUGUCCCCAGCCAAUCACUGGGGCUGCCAUCCUGCCUGGCACUGGUUGAUGGGCACCUCUGUUGGUUCCAUCAGCCAGAGCUUUUCCAAAGGCCCCUGCAAUCCGUCUCCCAAGAGGACCCUAAAGACAAUUAAAUGUCCUGUCCCACUGGCAAAAAA
Molecule: non-coding RNA, 757 nt
Organism: Saimiri boliviensis boliviensis (Bolivian squirrel monkey)
Lineage: Eukaryota; Metazoa; Chordata; Mammalia; Primates; Cebidae
Source: RefSeq, a predicted model, not a curated record